Molecule: ribosomal RNA, 497 nt
Filed under: uncultured bacterium
Lineage: Bacteria
Description: partial 16S ribosomal RNA
Rfam family: Bacterial small subunit ribosomal RNA
Source: RNAcentral
GAUGAACGCUGGCGGCGUGCCUAAUACAUGCAAGUCGAGCGAACGGACGAGAAGCUUGCUUCUCUGAUGUUAGCGGCGGACGGGUGAGUAACACGUGGAUAACCUACCUAUAAGACUGGGAUAACUUCGGGAAACCGUAGCUAAUACCGGAUAAUAUUUUGAACCGCAUGGUUCAAAAGUGAAAGACGGUCUUGCUGUCACUUAUAGAUGGAUCCGCGCUGCAUUAGCUAGUUGGUAAGGUAACGGCUUACCAAGGCAACGAUGCAUAGCCGACCUGAGAGGGUGAUCGGCCACACUGGAACUGAGACACGGUCCAGACUCCUACGGGAGGCGGCAGUAGGGAAUCUUCCGCAAUGGGCGAAAGCCUGACGGAGCAACGCCGCGUGAGUGAUGAAGGUCUUCGGAUCGUAAAACUCUGUUAUUAGGGAAGAACAUAUGUGUAAGUAACUGUGCACAUCCUGACGGUACCUAAUCAGAAAGCCACGGCUAACUACGUG